This is a small nucleolar RNA of Erinaceus europaeus (western European hedgehog), 125 nucleotides long. Its record names the gene SNORA70. It matches the Rfam family "Small nucleolar RNA SNORA70". From Rfam's summary of the family: snoRNA U70 seems to be exclusive to mammals and is a member of the H/ACA class of snoRNA which contain H (ANANNA) and ACA box motifs. H/ACA box snoRNAs are involved in the conversion of uridines to pseudouridines (5-ribosyluracil) a constituent of structural RNAs (transfer, ribosomal, small nuclear, and small nucleolar). NCBI's taxonomy places the organism in Eukaryota, Metazoa, Chordata, Mammalia, Eulipotyphla, Erinaceidae. The record is from Ensembl.
AUGCAAACAUCUGUCUUAGAAGCCUAUUUCACACCGGUGUGCAGUGGCUGCAAACAGCAGCCUCCUGGGUAGUGUGUGCAGCCUGUUGCUUGUAUAGGCUGCUCUAAGGGACCCUGGAGAUAGCC